Molecule: unclassified non-coding RNA, 293 nt
Filed under: Hevea brasiliensis (rubber tree)
Lineage: Eukaryota; Viridiplantae; Streptophyta; Magnoliopsida; Malpighiales; Euphorbiaceae
Source: RNAcentral
CAGAAGUGACACUGUGUUGUUCUGUACAUGUGUUGGAUGUCAAGUUUUGGAUAGAAAUGACCUCAGGAGUGACAUUUUGUUGCUCUCUACAUGUGCUGAAUGUUGAGCCUAAUAGCGGCUCAAACAGGAGGAGUGAAUAAACUCGCAAAAUCUAAGGUAAUAGGUGGCUCCAAACUUCCCCGAAGCACCUAAUUAAGAAGGUAACGUUUGGUGGCGAAAGUAAGAAGAUAAGGAAUCACCUGGACAGAACGACGAAGCCGAGGAUAACAGAAAGCGGCAAAGCUGGGAAGAAG